This 253-nucleotide ribosomal RNA is filed under the name uncultured bacterium. RNAcentral describes it as "partial 16S ribosomal RNA". It matches the Rfam family "Bacterial small subunit ribosomal RNA", at positions 524 to 776 of the family's 1533-position model. The record is from RNAcentral.
UACGUAGGGUGCGAGCGUUAAUCGGAAUUACUGGGCGCAAAGCGUGCGCAGGCGGUUUUGUAAGACAGAGGUGAAAUCCCCGGGCUCAACCUGGGAACUGCCUUUGUGACUGCAAAGCUGGAGUGCGGCAGAGGGGGAUGGAAUUCCGCGUGUAGCAGUGAAAUGCGUAGAUAUGCGGAGGAACACCGAUGGCGAAGGCAAUCCCCUGGGCCUGCACUGACGCUCAUGCACGAAAGCGUGGGGAGCAAACAGG